This 402-nucleotide ribosomal RNA is filed under the name uncultured fungus. RNAcentral describes it as "SSU rRNA". It matches the Rfam family "Eukaryotic small subunit ribosomal RNA", at positions 827 to 1228 of the family's 1831-position model. Lineage: Eukaryota; Fungi. The record is from RNAcentral.
CGUGUGGUUCUAUUUUGUUGGUUUCUAGAGUUGCUAUAAUGAUUAAUAGGGAUAGUUGGGAGCAUUUGUAUUGCAUUGCUAGAGGUGAAAUUCUUGGAUUUACACAAGACAAACUAUUGCAAAAGCAUUUGCCAAGGAUGUUUUCAUUAAUCAAGAACAAAGGUUAUGGGAUUGAAAACAAUCAGAUACCAUUGUAGUCUUAACAGUAAACUAUGCCAACUAGGGAUUGGACGACCUCAAUAUUAUGUGUUGUUUGGCACCUUACAAGAAAUCAAAGUCUUUGGGUUCUGGGGGGAGUAUGGUUGCAAGGCUGAAACUUAAAGGAAUUGACAGAAGGGCACCACCAGGAGUGGAGCCUGUGGCUUAAUUUGACUCAACACAGGGAAACUCACCAGGUCCAGA